This 88-nucleotide transfer RNA is filed under the name bacterium HR36. RNAcentral describes it as "tRNA-Ser". It matches the Rfam family "tRNA". From Rfam's summary of the family: Transfer RNA (tRNA) molecules are approximately 80 nucleotides in length. The record is from RNAcentral.
GGAGGGGUGGCCGAGCGGCCGAAGGCGCCGGUCUUGAAAACCGGUAGGCAGGCAACUGCCUCGUGGGUUCGAAUCCCACCCCCUCCGC